Molecule: long non-coding RNA, 608 nt
Organism: Sarcophilus harrisii (Tasmanian devil)
Lineage: Eukaryota; Metazoa; Chordata; Mammalia; Dasyuromorphia; Dasyuridae
Exons: 3
Source: RefSeq, a predicted model, not a curated record
UAAAUGCAGACCAGCUGAGGGUUAAGCUCAACCUUGGAAAAACACCAUCCAGGUAGACAGGUUGCCCUUGCUCCUCUUAGGGGCAAUGAAGCCUUUCUCUCUGGAAUCAAAACAGUUCAGAAGAUAAAAAUGGCAAGAUGUAGAAGUUAUAAUUCCCCAAGGCGGCGUCGGGUUAGGAGAAGAAGGAGGAGAAGGAGAAGAAGGAGAGCGAGAAAGAGAAGAAGAGCCUUGAAUAAAGUCAGGAGACAUCUCUAGGAGGAGUGGGGCCCAGUGGAGCCCUAUCUCCACAGACAUUUUUUGUUCAAGUGAAAUCUGGCUAAAAUUAACAGUGGUGACAGAGGGGAAAUGAAUGAACAGAGAAAGCCAGCGUUGUAGCACGUACUGCAUGCUACUAUAGGAAAGCAAGAUAGACUCCGAUGAAUUUCUUUUCUUAUCCGUGGGAGCUAGCAAUAAACCAGCCAUCAAUUUCCCAUCAUCAAGGCAAAAUGGAGCCAUUGCCUUUUACAAUCCCAGAAGAAAGAGCACGGUGGUAUCUUAGAUGCAGGGUUCCUACAGCAACACUGGAGCAAAGCCAGGACCUGUCUCAAUAAAAGUGUGGAAAAUGCAAA